RNAcentral lists this long non-coding RNA (813 nucleotides) under Anas platyrhynchos platyrhynchos (common mallard). RNAcentral's name for it is "lncRNA (ENSAPLG00000016563.1)". Lineage: Eukaryota; Metazoa; Chordata; Aves; Anseriformes; Anatidae. The record is from RNAcentral.
AUGGGCAGACCCAGCCAGCUGCAAGCUGCAGACCCAGCAGACGACAGCAGCCAGAAGGUACAGUGUAAAUGCAUCGCAUUGGCCUUUUUCAGCACUAAGCUGAAUGAAACACAAUAUUCAGAACAAAUAAAUCAUGCAAUGCAUGAUAUGUGGGGAGCACAAACAAAGGGAGAAGAAGCCCUGUCUUUAUUUGCCUGGCAAACUUCACAGCACGCUGGCCUGGCACCUUUCAUCACGGCAGAGUCAUACAGCAUCUUCUCAGCUCUUCAUGCACACUUACAGCCUUGUAUUUGUAGCUGCAUGGAGAAUCCUCCAAGUGCAAGCAACGUGUAAAAUCCAUGCUAAGAAUGUCUCUCAGAGCUGCAAGCAGUCUCUAAACUUACUGCCAGGACAUUAGCUCUGAAUCUGAGCACGGACACAGCGCCAGGACUAUGGGCAUCUCUCGUGAGCAGCGGCUGCCUGUCUUCUCCCAAAAAACUCUUUCAGACAAACACAAACCAAAUGGCACGUCUGUCAGACCUGAUGCAUUCAUAGGUCCUAUGUGUAAAUGACAAGGCAGCUGCUGAAGCUGGAUGUAAAAGAGAUGUUACCUUUUACUGGAUCCUAUUGGACUUUAAGGGAAACAAUGAAGCACUGUGCAAAAUAUGUAAAUAGUUAUGUCCCUCUGAUGUACGUUGAAAACACAUGUUCUAGUUGUAGCUUCAGGAACUAUAAAAGACACUGUGAAAUACUCUCGAGGCUUCCUUUCUUCUGUGAGAAGAACCAUUUCAGAACAAAAAUAAAGUAUAUGCAUCCACUUGUAUUUUGGUGUAU